GAUAAACGCUAGCGGCAGGCUUAACACAUGCAAGUCGAGGGGCAGCAUAGAUUGUAGCAAUACAAUUGGUGGCGACCGGCGCACGGGUGCGUAACGCGUAUGCAACCUACCCGUCACAGGGGGAUAAUCCGGAGAAAUCUGGUCUAAUACCCCAUAACAUAUGGAUCGGCAUCGGUUCAUGUUGAAAUUUUCGGAGGUGACGGAUGGGCAUGCGUAGCAUUAGCUUGUUGGUGAGGUAACGGCUCACCAAGGCGACGAUGCUUAGGGGGACUGAGAGGUUUUCCCCCCACACGGGUACUGAGACACGGACCAGACUCCUACGGGAGGCAGCAGUGAGGAAUAUUGGUCAGUGGGCGCAAGCCUGAACCAGCCAUGCCGCGUGCAGGAUGACGGCUCUAUGAGUUGUAAACUGCUUUUGUGCGAGGGUAAAGUGGGUUACGUGUAACCUUUUGAAAGUAUCGUACGAAUAAGGAUCGGCUAACUCCGUGCCAGCCGCCGCCGUAA
RNAcentral lists this ribosomal RNA (504 nucleotides) under uncultured bacterium. RNAcentral's name for it is "partial 16S ribosomal RNA". It matches the Rfam family "Bacterial small subunit ribosomal RNA", at positions 28 to 523 of the family's 1533-position model. The record is from RNAcentral.